Molecule: ribosomal RNA, 443 nt
Filed under: uncultured bacterium
Lineage: Bacteria
Description: partial 16S ribosomal RNA
Rfam family: Bacterial small subunit ribosomal RNA
Source: RNAcentral
CCUACGGGUGGCAGCAGUGGGGGAUAUUGGACAAUGGGGGGAACCCUGAUCCAGCGACGCCGCGUGAGUGAAGAAGUCUUUAUGUAUGGAAAGCUCUGUCAGCAGGGAAGAAAGACAUGACGGUACCUGACCAAUAAGCCCCGGCUAACGACGUGCCAGCAGCCGCGGUAAUACGUAGGGGGCAAGCGUUAUCCGGAAUUACUGGGUGUAAGGGGAGCGUAGACGGUUAAGUAAGUCUGGAGUGAAAGGCCGGGGCCCAACCCCGGGACUGCUCUGGAAACUAGUGAACUUGAGUGCAGGAGAGGUAAGCGGAAUGCGUAGUGUAGCGGUGAAAUGCGUAGAUAUUAGGAGGAACACCAGUGGCGAAGGCGGCGUACUGGACUGUAACUGACGUUGAGGCUCGAAAGCGUGGGGAGCAAACAGGAUUAGAUACCCGGGUAGUC